Long non-coding RNA from Leopardus geoffroyi (Geoffroy's cat), 617 nucleotides. RefSeq lists it as uncharacterized. The record is from RefSeq and is a predicted model, not a curated record. The transcript has 4 exons. NCBI's taxonomy places the organism in Eukaryota, Metazoa, Chordata, Mammalia, Carnivora, Felidae.
GGACACCUACCUGACUGACCUCUUACUCUUCCUGCAUUUCUGGUUCUUGCUAUUAUUAACCCACUGUCCAAACCCAACAAAUAUUCACGGGGCAGGAGUGAGUGGAUCAGGCCAAGAAGCAUGGAUGGGAGAGGAGGGAAAAACAUCCUAAACAGGAACCACAGGUCUAUAUUACCAUGAGAGAACUGCAGCUUGAGAUCAACCCCAAACCACCUUGCACACCUACAAAACUGAUUUGAGGAUUAACACAACAAUCUGCACAACCUGAACCAAAGAACUCAGCAGCAUUAUUCACAAUAGGCAAGACAUGGAAACAAGCUAAUUAUCUGCCAGUAGAUGGAUGGAUAUAGAAAAUGUGUCAUUUGCAAGAACGUGGAAAAACCUGGAGGUCAUUAUACUAAGAGAAAUAAAAUUCAUGAAGGCAAGAUUGGAAAUACUGAAAUAUAAGAGAGUAGUUGAACAUCAGAGGACAAGGAAGUGUCUUGAGAAGAAAAAUACAUCACAUAAAGCAAAGCUGAGCUUCUUGAGCUUCUGAAAAAGUUGCUUUCAAGCACAAAUUUCUCUCAAUUCUGCAUUUGAUUUUCCAAUCAAUUCUGCUUGUCUUCUGUCUCCAACUA